RNAcentral lists this transfer RNA (69 nucleotides) under Phytophthora infestans (potato late blight agent). RNAcentral describes it as "tRNA-Ala". The stretch from base 5 to 61 matches the Rfam family "tRNA", at positions 8 to 63 of the family's 71-position model. From Rfam's summary of the family: Transfer RNA (tRNA) molecules are approximately 80 nucleotides in length. The record is from RNAcentral. Lineage: Eukaryota; Oomycota; Peronosporomycetes; Peronosporales; Peronosporaceae.
GCAAUAGCUCAGUGGUCGAGCACUCGCUUCGCAAGCGAGAGGUCGGUGGUUCGAUCCCACUCAGGUGUA